ACGUAGGAUCCAAGCGUUGUCCGGAUUUACUGGGUGUAAAGGGUGCGCAGGCGGACUUGUUAGUCAGAGGUGAAAUCUCACUGCUCAACAGUGAAACUGCCUUUGAUACUGCAGGUCUUGAAUCCAGAAGAGAGUUGUGGAAUUCCGAGUGUAGCAGUGAAAUGUGUAGAUAUUCGGAAGAACACCAGCGGCGAAGGCAGCAACUUGGUCUGGUAUUGACGCUCAGGCACGAAAGCAUGGGGAUCAAACAGGA
RNAcentral lists this ribosomal RNA (253 nucleotides) under uncultured prokaryote. Its description in RNAcentral is "partial 16S ribosomal RNA". It matches the Rfam family "Bacterial small subunit ribosomal RNA", at positions 525 to 777 of the family's 1533-position model. The record is from RNAcentral.